ACUCAGUUGGUAGAGUACAAAGCUCUUAACCUUAUGGACGUGGGUUCAAGCCCCAU
Molecule: non-coding RNA, 56 nt
Organism: Triticum aestivum (bread wheat)
Lineage: Eukaryota; Viridiplantae; Streptophyta; Magnoliopsida; Poales; Poaceae
Source: Rfam